This 75-nucleotide transfer RNA is filed under the name Spirulina sp. SIO3F2. RNAcentral describes it as "tRNA-Arg". It matches the Rfam family "tRNA". Rfam says of the family: Transfer RNA (tRNA) molecules are approximately 80 nucleotides in length. Lineage: Bacteria; Bacillati; Cyanobacteriota; Cyanophyceae; Spirulinales; Spirulinaceae. The record is from RNAcentral.
ACUCUCAUAGCUCAAUGGAAUUAGAGCACUGGUCUACGAAAUCAGAGGUUGUAGGUUCGAGUCCUACUGAGAGUG